Oncorhynchus tshawytscha (Chinook salmon) is the source of this 3637-nucleotide long non-coding RNA. The record is from Ensembl. Lineage: Eukaryota; Metazoa; Chordata; Actinopteri; Salmoniformes; Salmonidae.
AAAACACAUUCAAAAAGGACAACGGUUUUGAAAAAGCACAACGGCUUUAUUUCUCUCUCAAGCUCUUAACAAGGAAAGGGCGAAUAUGAUCACAUAUCAGGAAGGAUACUGUUGGAUCUGUGCCAGAGUGCACUGGUCCUCUGACAAAUCAAAUAUGACUCUUAAAAGUACAAAAAAAAAUAAGCGUCAUGGCGAUAUCUUGGUGUCGGUACAGUAAUAGAAGUCGAGCACGGAAACCAAAUGCAGUUUCUCAGGUGUGUAUGAGGUUUCAGUGUCCACCUUUUCCCUGUCCAAAAACUGACAGGGUCCUGUCACUGCAAAAAGCAGGAAAGCCAUCACAACGUCCAAUAAGCCAAUCCACAAGUUAAAGCAGUCCACCCUGUGAGAACAUAAGUGACCUUUUAAACAUUUAUCAUUUUAUUAGUGAUACAAUAUAUAAAUCAAACAUGUUUUGACUCCCACCCUCCCCGACUGACCACAACUCGGAAUAUAAUGAACAGGUAUGCAUAAUGUACAGACAUCAGUGACAAAGAUGAGUGAACAUUUUGUAGUGUCAUGGAGCAUUAUAAUAAGCAGUAACAUUUCUAAACCUUUAUGACAUUGGAAUAGUAAAUGACUUUCAAAAUGUGACAAAAAAAAAAUGCAAACAGAUCACAUUUUUCAAACAAAAAAUAAAUGCUUUAAUAUUCCUUCUGAGAGCCCAAAGCAACUGCAACGUUCACAAAAAAAAUGUUACACGAAGAUAGUACAUUAAUUCAUCAAGCAUCUAAUCCCCCUCCAUUAUCAUCAAAUUGUAACAUAGAAAUAGAUAUUUGGACCCUGAUUGAGAGUUCUAGUUAGGUUGCUUUUAUUACCCGGAGACUUUACAUGGUGCUGAACGUUCACUAGGGAGGUAUGCCUACUAAUUUCUUCACUAACCUCCAUCUUUCCAUCGAGUUGUGUUAACAAAAAAAAAAAAAAACACAAUACAGAGAAGUGUUUAUAAUAGCUCUAGGAGAAAAAGCAAAAAUACUCCAGGAGAGGGAUAUAAAAUCACUUGACAUGUAUCAGAUGUGAUUCAGAUUUCAACUCAUUACAACCAAAUGGAUAGCGAUAGAAAGAAUUUGAAUCAGCUAUUGGGAUCGUACAGUAAGUCAAUGAAGCCCACCCUCACUCCCCAAAACUAAAGAAUAACUCCACAUUUUUUUGCCAGCUUGGUUGAUCAAAACCACACACACACACACACUGCAGCGGCACAUGUCCACUGACUUCAGAGCCUUUUGAAAUGUUGUGACGGAAUCCUGGAUCAGGCCCUGCGGUUAACCCAUGUUCAGCACAUCACAUGCACACACUGCAUCAAAGCCAGGGAAGCUUCAAAUGAGGCAACAUGAUUUCUCUAAAAUAGGAAAUACAUAAAGGCGAGAGUCACAUAAAAGCAAAAAAACUGCCUUUAAAAAAAAAACGGAAACAUUUUCUAAGAAUCUAAGCAGUUUUGUCACAGUUCACGUGCUGUGUGAAGUACCCUGGGAGGGUGACACACCCCAGGUCACGCCUUUCAACGUCUACACACAAUGUCCUCAAACCUGGGUUUGAAGGAUUUUUAUUGAAUAAAAGGAGUCCUUGAAUAGAGCAAAUAGGAGAUGACGACUAAAAAAAUAAUAAAAAACUCCACAGUUAUCAGCGAAAAAUGACAAAGAGUUGGGGGGGGGGUGAAAAAGGUGCCGCUCUGCAAUUCUUUUUUUAAAACACUUAUAGAUUUGCUUUCUUGUGGUGACAUGUCAAGUGUCUGCCUCAUCUACAAGGCUACAGACCAAAAAGGUAAGUACAGUUUGGCAAAAAAGGGGUGAAUUACGACGGUGAACUAUCUGCAGGAGCUGGCCGUUUCCUUUUUCGGACUCUGAUGGCGAGCAACACAGAAAACGUGAAUUUCUAUUCUCUUUUUUGUUACCAUUAUCCUUCUCUCAAAAUGGACAUUAACAUUAAUAAAUAAAGACGACCUUGAAGAGUCUGCUUAGAAGAGUGUCCAAAACUAUUGUCUAUGUAUAUAUUUAUAUAUAUUUAUAUAUCUCUAUAUGUGGUGUUUAAUAAUAAUAAUAAUAAUAAUAAUGUCCGGUUCUGAAAGUUGGUGUCAGGUUCUGGGAGUUGAUACAGUAUCCCUGCCCUUCAGUCUGGCGCCGACCUGGGGUUUUGUGAAGGUUAAAAGGAGGUUUAAGGUCCGUUGCUAUGCCUUGCCCUCUUCCACUUUGAUGACUCUGGUGCAUGGUGCUGGUUUGCCCUGCCAGCCGGGAAGGGGCUCCUGGAGGUUGCUGGUCAUCAGGCAGUGCCUUCCCCUCACCCACCAGCUGGCGCCUAUCCCACAGGGCUUUACUCGAACACACACAAGAAAUUCAAGGUUAACAUUUCAUAUGGUUUUCAAAUGGGCAACAAAACACUGUUACAAGUAGGGCAGUGGCGAUAUCAAAUUAAUUCAAAUGAAUGUUCACCAAAAGCCAGUACCACAAGUAUUACAUUUUUUAUUAUUUAGUUUUGACGAGUUUGUUCUCAUGUUUUUUUGGUGUGGUCUACAUCACUCCUUCUGUGCUAUGUACCUUUCCCAGUUCUCUCACACACACACACACACACACAGUCCCGCACCCUGCCACUCACAACAAGGAUGAAAGACCACUUCUCCCUCUGACAGUUUCAACUCUAUUUGCAUUUGAGGUUUGGUCCAACAGAAUCAGUCAUAUGGACACCGAAACAGACAUUUGACUGGAAAACGUAAAAUGUUUAUGUCUGAAUUCUCAAAAUUGAGCGCAGAGCAGACCCUACUAAAACGGGAGUAUCGAUUAACAUUCAUUCUGGAAAAUUAAAUGCUCAGUUUGUCGUGCACGGCAUUACAGUACUAUGUACCGCUAGCAGCAUUUUAUCCAGAGUGUUGUGCUAGCAGUCUAGUCUGUGUUUUAUACAUUUGCAAUGUGCAUAAAGAGGCAUUUAUACAAGGAAUUGUCAACUCGUUCUCAUUCUGAGAAAUAAGCAUCUUAUCCAGGUAGACCACUUGAUUUCAACAUCUAAACAAAGUGGACAGGCUGGUAUGCUGUUCAAACAGGUGGAAACGGACAGAAGGCUGUGUUCAUAACAGUUCAACUGUUCUACCUUGAUACCUAGCAAAUAUAUCCAAGUUCGCUAGACUUCAAAUAUAAAGAUUAGCUGACUUCUCACGAACACGUGGGUUGAGAGAUUGUGUUGAUUUUCUAUAAUGCACCUGCUAAUCACCUGCUACAAGAAGUUGGUCAUUAUUAGUGGAAGUGCACGGUUCUGUUAAAAUUUCUAACAAAAAUUGCAUUUUCAUAGACUGACAUGACAGCCAGAUGUGAUUAUUGCAAAAAGGCAGGUUAAACUAUUUUUAUAAAAUAAUGUAAUUAGUAGUGGGUCUUAUGGUUGUGGACUGUUUAUAUUUAGCCUAGGUAUACUUUUACAAGCUCUGAAAUCAUUACACUAUUUGAAAUGAAGUGUAUUGACCUUUAGUUGUACAACAAAGCUUAGAGAGAAAAAAAGAAGAUGAUACAUAUCAUGAAUCGCCCAUAUGUUUGCCUUUUAUUUGAUAUGAUUUUUAGGCCAUGUCAAGGGAAAUAGUUAAAACAUUGUUUUAAAAACAGUCUAAUAGCAAAAAUUGGAC